GCCUGGGUGGCUCAGUCGGUUGAGCGUCUGACUUCAGCUCAGGUCAUGAUCUCGCUGGGUUUGUGAGUUUGAGCCCUGCGUCAGGCU
Molecule: non-coding RNA, 87 nt
Organism: Felis catus (domestic cat)
Lineage: Eukaryota; Metazoa; Chordata; Mammalia; Carnivora; Felidae
Source: Rfam